RNAcentral lists this ribosomal RNA (465 nucleotides) under uncultured bacterium. Its description in RNAcentral is "bacterial SSU rRNA". It matches the Rfam family "Bacterial small subunit ribosomal RNA", at positions 338 to 795 of the family's 1533-position model. The record is from RNAcentral.
CCUACGGGACGCACCAGUAGGGAAUCUUCGGCAAUGGACGAAAGUCUGACCGAGCAACGCCGCGUGAGUGAAGAAGGUUUUCGGAUCGUAAAACUCUGUUGUUUGAGAAGAACAAGGACGUUAGUAACUGAACGUCCCCUGACGGUAUCUAACCAGAAAGCCACGGCUAACUACGUGCCAGCAGCCGCGGUAAUACGUAGGUGGCAAGCGUUGUCCGGAUUUAUUGGGCGUAAAGCGAGCGCAGGCGGUUUCUUAAGUCUGAUGUGAAAGCCCCCGGCUCAACCGGGGAGGGUCAUUGGAAACUGGGAGACUUGAGUACGGAAGAGGAGAGUGGAAUUCCAUGUGUAGCGGUGAAAUGCGUAGAUAUAUGGAGGAACACCAGUGGCGAAGGCGGCUCUCUGGUCUGUAACUGACGCUGAGGCUCGAAAGCGUGGGGAGCAAACAGGAUUAGAUACCCGCGUAGUC